AAUAUGGUCUUCUAAUUAGCUUCAUUGAGCUAUCGUAAAUGCGUGAAUUUAUCUGAAUUCCGCCCUAAUGCCAGCAAGGAUAUGAAUUUUUUGCAGCUAGAUGACAAAGUUAACAAACAGAAAACUGCAUUCGCAUGAUGGACGUAGAAUUGUCAGAAAAUCAAUAAAAUGGACAGAAGGAUAUUUCGUCUGACCAUUGGUGCGGGUGGGGGACUUUAUAGCUAUUUUAGAUUCUAGUCAAUGUUACUUGUUAUAUAUCUAUAAUGAGGUGAAAAAUUUAGAAACCUCCAUGCGUAUCCAGCCAUAUUCUCACUGCAAGCACUUACUUCAGCUGUGAUGGAAGUCAAUUCCUAUCAAAAAACUGGUGAAAAGUCUUCCCAGAUGUGUGCUGUCAUGAAUGCAAAAAGGCGACCAACAUCAUAUUAAGAUAUUAAGAUUUCUCAAGUAAGUAAAUAAAUAAAAAAUAAAAAUUGUGUAAGGAGAGAAAAAAAUUUAGGGUUUUAUCACAGCUCAACUACUACCUUAAUAUAUAUAUAUAUAUUUUUACAGGUGUAAAAAUUCCCCUUUUUACGAUACAAUUAACAAAUAAUGAAAUAGACUGGUUUUGGUACUUAAAACCUUACUUAAUAGAAGAUUAGAAAUAUUUUUUGUUUUUUUCUAUAAUUAUUUUCAGUGUGCAUCUAUUUUGAUACAAACUGCAGAUAUAUUUCAUUCUGUGUGAUAUUUUGCAGUGAAGAUUUCCUCUGUGAUAGUUUAGACAGCAACACAAGCAGCAGUAACCAUAAAAAGAGAAAACUGUCUGAAAAUCAUAAAAAUUUAAACAACAACCUUCUCAAUGGAAUGAUGAGCGUGAAACAAGAAACUCGAGGAAUUUCACCCACAAACACUCCUGUUCUGUCUACAACGGAUGAUGAGUACAGUUUUGAUUUUACCGGACCGGAUGGUUCUGGGAUGUUCUUAGACUCAGCGUAUCAAUGUAUACGUUUUCAGCAAUUUCAA
Non-coding RNA from Parasteatoda tepidariorum (common house spider), 999 nucleotides. The record is from RefSeq and is a predicted model, not a curated record. Lineage: Eukaryota; Metazoa; Arthropoda; Arachnida; Araneae; Theridiidae.